This 329-nucleotide unclassified non-coding RNA is filed under the name soil metagenome. RNAcentral's name for it is "partial contains 5.8S ribosomal RNA, internal transcribed spacer 2, and large subunit ribosomal RNA". The stretch from base 1 to 120 matches the Rfam family "5.8S ribosomal RNA", at positions 35 to 154 of the family's 154-position model. The record is from RNAcentral.
GAUGAAGAACGUAGCGAAAUGCGAUAAGUAAUGUGAAUUGCAGAGUUUUGUGAAUCAUCGAAUCUUUGAACGCACAUUGCGCCCCUUGGUAUUCCGAGGGGCAUGCCUGUUCGAGCGUCAUUAUAACCCCUCAAGCUCAGCUUGGUGUUGGGGCCUGCUGCACUGGCAGCCCUUAAAAUCAGUGGCGGCGCCAUCUGGCUCUAAGCGUAGUAAUUCUUCUCGCUAUGGAGUCCUGGUGGAUGCUUGCCAUCAACCCCCAAUUUUUCUAUGGUUGACCUCGGAUCAGGUAGGGAUACCCGCUGAACUUAAGCAUAUCAAUAAGCGGAGGA